GAUGAACGCUGGCGGCGUGCCUAAUACAUGCAAGUCGGGCGAACAGAUGAGGAGCUUGCUCCUCUGACGUUAGCGGCGGACGGGUGAGUAACACGUGGAUAACCUACCUAUAAGACUGGGAUAACUUCGGGAAACCGGAGCUAAUACCGGAUAAUAUAUUGAACCGCAUGGUUCAAUAGUGAAAGACGGUUUUGCUGUCACUUAUAGAUGGAUCCGCGCCGCAUUAGCUAGUUGGUAAGGUAACGGCUUACCAAGGCAACGAUGCGUAGCCGACCUGAGAGGGUGAUCCGCCACACUGGAACUGAGACACGGUCCAGACUCCUACGGGAGGCAGCAGUAGGGAAUCUUCCGCAAUGGGCGAAAGCCUGACGGAGCAACGCCGCGUGAGUGAUGAAGGUCUUCGGAUCGUAAAACUCUGUUAUUAGGGAAGAACAAAUGUGUAAGUAACUAUGCACGUCUUGACGGUACCUAAUCAGAAAGCCACGGCUAACUACGUG
RNAcentral lists this ribosomal RNA (497 nucleotides) under uncultured bacterium. RNAcentral describes it as "partial 16S ribosomal RNA". It matches the Rfam family "Bacterial small subunit ribosomal RNA", at positions 28 to 507 of the family's 1533-position model. The record is from RNAcentral.